UGGUCAAGUUAUUAAGGGUGCAGGGCGGAUGCCUUGGCACUAGGAGCCGAUGAAGGACGUGAUAAGCUGCGAUAAGCUUCGGGGAGUUGCACGUAAACUUUGAUCCGAAGAUUUCCGAAUGAGGAAACUCACUUAGAGUAAUGUCUAAGUAUCAUUAAGUGAAUACAUAGCUUAAUGAGGGGAACUCAGGGAACUGAAACAUCUAAGUACCUGAAGGAAGAGAAAGAAAUUCGAUUCCGUAAGUAGCGGCGAGCGAACGCGGAUUAGCCCAAACUAAUAAAGUUUUCUUUAUUGGGGUUGCGGACAUAUCAUAACGAAGAGGCAUCGUAAUUGAAGAGGUUUGGAAAGACCCACCACAGAAGGUAAUAGUCCUGUAUGUUAAACGAGAAGACUUUAGAUAUGAUCCAGAG
Molecule: ribosomal RNA, 410 nt
Filed under: Clostridioides difficile
Lineage: Bacteria; Bacillati; Bacillota; Clostridia; Peptostreptococcales; Peptostreptococcaceae
Description: partial 23S ribosomal RNA
Rfam family: Bacterial large subunit ribosomal RNA
Source: RNAcentral